This 546-nucleotide small RNA is filed under the name Pan troglodytes (chimpanzee). RNAcentral describes it as "retained intron". Lineage: Eukaryota; Metazoa; Chordata; Mammalia; Primates; Hominidae. The record is from RNAcentral.
UUGAGUACCUCCUGUAUGCCAGGCACUGUGCUGGGUACUGAGGAUACAGCAGUUGGCAGUGAACAAAAUCCCUGUUCUCAUGGAGCUGCCACUUCAAUGGGAAGAGACAAGAAACAAAAUGAAGUGGGGAAAGCCAUCUCUGCUGAGUGUCAAUAAGUGUUAAGUAAUGGGGACAGAAAAGCAAAGAUCAGGGAGUGUUGUGGUGGGGUGGAUCUGAAUAACGUAGUCAGCAAAGGCCUCCCUGGGAGGGUGAGGUUUAUGCAAGACCAGAAGAGGUGACGAAGGAAGCCAUGUGGGGACUCAGGAAGAAUGUUCCUAGCAGAGGGAACAGCGGUGCAGAGGCUUCGAGGAAGUGUUUCUGGCCAUGGUGAGGCCUUUGUCCUUUAUCCUGAAUGAGAGGGAACCACAGGAAGCUGCUACGGAAGAGGCACAUAGGAAAUGACAUCGUGACGAUCAUCUUCCAGGAGCCUGGCGCGCUACCGUUCACCCCCAAGAACAUCCGCUCCCACUUCCAGCACGUCUUCAUCAUUGUCCGAGUCCACAACC